RNAcentral lists this ribosomal RNA (429 nucleotides) under uncultured bacterium. RNAcentral describes it as "bacterial SSU rRNA". It matches the Rfam family "Bacterial small subunit ribosomal RNA", at positions 355 to 775 of the family's 1533-position model. The record is from RNAcentral.
UGGGGAAUUUUGCGCAAUGGGGGAAACCCUGACGCAGCAACGCCGCGUGAGUGAUGAAGGCCUUCGGGUCGUAAAGCUCUGUCAGAGGGGAAGAAAUGCAGGGGUGCUAAUAUCAUCUUUGCUUGACGGUACCCUCAAAGGAAGCACCGGCUAACUCCGUGCCAGCAGCCGCGGUAAUACGGAGGGUGCGAGCGUUGUUCGGAAUUAUUGGGCGUAAAGCGCGUGUAGGCGGUUUGGUAAGUCUGAUGUGAAAGCCCCGGGCUCAACCUGGGAAGGGCAAUUGAAACCGGUAGAACUGGAAACGGGAGGGGGUAGGGGAAUUUCUAGUGGAGGAGGGAAAUCCGGAGAUAAUAGGAGGAACACCGGUGGCGGAGGCGGGUACCUGGACCGAUAUUGACGGUGAGACGCGAAAGCGUGGGGAGCAAACAG